AACUUUUAGCAACGGAUCUCUUGGCUCUCGCAACGAUGAAGAACGCAGCGAAUUGCGAAACGUAAUGUGAAUUGCAUGUACCGUGAAUCAUUAAAUCUUUGAACGCACCUUGCGCCAUUUUGAAUUCAAGAUGGCACAUCUGUUUGAGUAUCAGCAAAAUCUCUCCUCUCUCCGAGUUGUAAGACUUGGAAAGAAGUGGAAUUGAGUUUGAAUCGAUUGAUUCUACUUUAAAUGUUCAACUCAGCUCCAGUAAGUUGUCAGAGUUACUAUAAUUCUGUUCGGCCAUGCUGCGAUGUGCGUUGAGGGAACAGCAACUGACAAUGUCGGAAGCUUUGAACUUGAUCUCAAAUCAGAUGAGAAUACCCGCUGAACUUAAGCAUAUCAAUAAGCGGAGGCU
This 397-nucleotide unclassified non-coding RNA is filed under the name uncultured Basidiomycota. RNAcentral describes it as "sequence contains ITS2". The stretch from base 1 to 153 matches the Rfam family "5.8S ribosomal RNA". Lineage: Eukaryota; Fungi; Basidiomycota. The record is from RNAcentral.